Molecule: ribosomal RNA, 460 nt
Filed under: uncultured bacterium
Lineage: Bacteria
Description: partial 16S ribosomal RNA
Rfam family: Bacterial small subunit ribosomal RNA
Source: RNAcentral
CCUACGGGCGGCAGCAGUGAGGAAUAUUGGUCAAUGGGCGCGAGCCUGAACCAGCCAAGUAGCGUGAAGGAUGACUGCCCUACGGGUUGUAAACUUCUUUUGUAAAGGAAUAAAGUGGGGCACGUGUGCCUUUUUGUAGGUACUUUAUGAAUAAGGAUCGGCUAACUCCGUGCCAGCAGCCGCGGUAAUACGGAGGAUCCGAGCGUUAUCCGGAUUUAUUGGGUUUAAAGGGAGCGUAGAUGGGUUGUUAAGUCAGUCGUGAAAGUUUGCGGGUCAACCGUAAAAUUGCAAUUGAAACUGGCAGCCUUGAGUACAGUUGAGGUAGGCGGAAUUCGUGGUGUAGCGGUGAAAUGCUUAGAUAUCACGAAGAACUCCGAUUGCGAAGGCAGCAUACUAAACUGCCACUGACAUUGAUGCUCGAAAGUGUGGGUAUCAAACAGGAUUAGAUACCCUGGUAGUC